CUACGGGCGGCACCAGUGAGGAAUAUUGCACAAUGGGGGGAACCCUGAUGCAGCAACGCCGCGUGGAGGAUGACGCAUUUCGGUGUGUAAACUCUUUUUAUAUGUCAAGAAAAUGACGGUAGCAUAUGAAUAAGCACCGGCUAACACCGUGCCAGCAGCCGCGGUAAUACGGAGGGUGCAAGCGUUACUCGGAAUCACUGGGCGUAAAGGACGCGUAGGCGGGUUGGAAAGUCAGGUGUGAAAUCCUACAGCUUAACUGUAGAACUGCACUUGAAACUUCUAAUCUAGAGUAUGGGAGGGGGAGAUGGAAUUAGUGGUGUAGGGGUAAAAUCCGUAGAUAUCACUAGGAAUACCUAAAGCGAAGGCGAUCUCCUGGAACAUUACUGACGCUAAGGCGUGAAAGCGUGGGGAGCAAACAGGAUUAGAUACCCUAGUAGUC
RNAcentral lists this ribosomal RNA (439 nucleotides) under uncultured bacterium. RNAcentral describes it as "partial 16S ribosomal RNA". It matches the Rfam family "Bacterial small subunit ribosomal RNA", at positions 339 to 795 of the family's 1533-position model. The record is from RNAcentral.